RNAcentral lists this non-coding RNA (98 nucleotides) under Syntrophobacter sp. Its description in RNAcentral is "c-di-GMP sequence". It matches the Rfam family "c-di-GMP-I riboswitch aptamer". Rfam says of the family: GEMM was predicted in a large-scale screen for bacterial structured RNA regulatory elements. Genes associated with GEMM are involved in a diverse array of functions, including chemotaxis regulation, signal transduction, secretion and chitin. The record is from RNAcentral. Lineage: Bacteria; Pseudomonadati; Thermodesulfobacteriota; Syntrophobacteria; Syntrophobacterales; Syntrophobacteraceae.
UACCGAAAAGGGUAAACCGUCCGAAAGGACGGGGCGCAAAGCCCAGCCUAAGUCCAGCACAUAAGAUAUGUGCUGGAUAUGGUAGAAGGGUUGCCGAA